RNAcentral lists this ribosomal RNA (321 nucleotides) under uncultured bacterium. RNAcentral describes it as "bacterial SSU rRNA". It matches the Rfam family "Bacterial small subunit ribosomal RNA", at positions 29 to 334 of the family's 1533-position model. The record is from RNAcentral.
UAUGAACGCUGGCGGCGUGCCUAACACAUGCAAGUCGAGCGAAGCGCCUUACUUGAUUUCUUCGGGAUGAAAGUAUUGUGACUGAGCGGGCGUAGGGCAAGGUACGCUAGUAGUACUGCUCAUACAGGGGAUAACAGUUAGAAAUGACUGCUAAUACCGCAUAAGACCACAGCACCGCAUGGUGCAGGGGUAAAAACUCCGGUGGUAUGAGAUGGAUCCGCGUCUGAUUAGCUAGUUGGUAAGGUAACGGCUUACCAAGGCAACGAUCAGUAGCCGACCUGAGAGGGUGACCGGCCACAUUGGGACUGAGACACGGCCCAA